This 990-nucleotide ribosomal RNA is filed under the name Acinetobacter calcoaceticus. Its description in RNAcentral is "bacterial SSU rRNA". It matches the Rfam family "Bacterial small subunit ribosomal RNA", at positions 56 to 1040 of the family's 1533-position model. The record is from RNAcentral. Lineage: Bacteria; Pseudomonadati; Pseudomonadota; Gammaproteobacteria; Moraxellales; Moraxellaceae.
UGCAAGUCGAGCGGAGUGAUGGUGCUUGCACUAUCACUUAGCGGCGGACGGGUGAGUAAUGCUUAGGAAUCUGCCUAUUAGUGGGGGACAACAUUUCGAAAGGAAUGCUAAUACCGCAUACGUCCUACGGGAGAAAGCAGGGGAUCUUCGGACCUUGCGCUAAUAGAUGAGCCUAAGUCGGAUUAGCUAGUUGGUGGGGUAAAGGCCUACCAAGGCGACGAUCUGUAGCGGGUCUGAGAGGAUGAUCCGCCACACUGGGACUGAGACACGGCCCAGACUCCUACGGGAGGCAGCAGUGGGGAAUAUUGGACAAUGGGCGCAAGCCUGAUCCAGCCAUGCCGCGUGUGUGAAGAAGGCCUUAUGGUUGUAAAGCACUUUAAGCGAGGAGGAGGCUACUGAAGUUAAUACCUUCAGAUAGUGGACGUUACUCGCAGAAUAAGCACCGGCUAACUCUGUGCCAGCAGCCGCGGUAAUACAGAGGGUGCAAGCGUUAAUCGGAUUUACUGGGCGUAAAGCGCGCGUAGGCGGCUAAUUAAGUCAAAUGUGAAAUCCCCGAGCUUAACUUGGGAAUUGCAUUCGAUACUGGUUAGCUAGAGUGUGGGAGAGGAUGGUAGAAUUCCAGGUGUAGCGGUGAAAUGCGUAGAGAUCUGGAGGAAUACCGAUGGCGAAGGCAGCCAUCUGGCCUAACACUGACGCUGAGGUGCGAAAGCAUGGGGAGCAAACAGGAUUAGAUACCCUGGUAGUCCAUGCCGUAAACGAUGUCUACUAGCCGUUGGGGCCUUUGAGGCUUUAGUGGCGCAGCUAACGCGAUAAGUAGACCGCCUGGGGAGUACGGUCGCAAGACUAAAACUCAAAUGAAUUGACGGGGGCCCGCACAAGCGGUGGAGCAUGUGGUUUAAUUCGAUGCAACGCGAAGAACCUUACCUGGCCUUGACAUAGUAAGAACUUUCCAGAGAUGGAUUGGUGCCUUCGGGAACUUACAUACAGGUG